Molecule: ribosomal RNA, 253 nt
Filed under: uncultured bacterium
Lineage: Bacteria
Description: partial 16S ribosomal RNA
Rfam family: Bacterial small subunit ribosomal RNA
Source: RNAcentral
GACGUAGGGUGCGAGCGUUGUCCGGAUUUAUUGGGCGUAAAGAGCUCGUAGGCGGCUCGUCGCGUCGACCGUGAAAACCCGCGGCUUAACUGCGGGCUUGCGGUUGAUACGGGCGGGCUAGAGUUCGGUAGGGGAGACUGGAAUUCCUGGUGUAGUGGUGAAAUGCGUAGAUAUCCGGAGGAACACCAGUGGCGAAGGCGGCCACCUGGGCUGUACCUGACGCUCAAACACGAAAGCUAGGGGAGCGAACGGG